Molecule: ribosomal RNA, 498 nt
Filed under: uncultured bacterium
Lineage: Bacteria
Description: partial 16S ribosomal RNA
Rfam family: Bacterial small subunit ribosomal RNA
Source: RNAcentral
ACGAACGCUGGCGGCGUGCCUCAUACAUGCAAGUCGAGCGGACCAAACAGGAGCUUGCUCUUGUUUGGUUAGCGGCGGACGGGUGAGUAACACGUGGGUAACCUGCCCGUAAGACCGGGAUAACUCCGGGAAACCGGAGCUAAUACCGGAUAACACCGAAGACCGCAUGGUCUUUGGUUGAAAGGCGGCUUCGGCUGCCACUUACGGAUGGGCCCGCGGCGCAUUAGCUAGUUGGUGAGGUAACGGCUCACCAAGGCGACGAUGCGUAGCCGGCCUGAGAGGGUGACCGGCCACACUGGGACUGAGACACGGCCCAGACUCCUACGGGAGGCAGCAGUAGGGAAUCUUCCGCAAUGGACGAAAGUCUGACGGAGCGACGCCGCGUGAGCGAAGAAGGUCUUCGGAUCGUAAAGCUCUGUUGUUAGGGAAGAAGAAGCGCCGUUCGAACAGGGCGGCGCGGUGACGGCACCUAACGAGAAAGCCCCGGCUAACUACGUG